UUUUUUAUAAUGAUUCUACCUAAGACUCAGGUGGCGAAAGCCUUAAUAUAGUGCCUGCCGAGGAAUUUAAGUGAAAUUAACUUUUACUUUGAAAUUUUCUCUAUGUCUUGGUGGACAUAGGGUUUUUUAGUUAAGACC
Molecule: regulatory RNA element, 138 nt
Rfam family: Ribosomal protein L10 leader
About the family: This family is a putative r-protein leader autoregulatory structure found in B. subtilis and other low-GC Gram-positive bacteria. It is located in the 5' untranslated regions of mRNAs encoding ribosomal proteins L10 and L12 (rplJ-rplL).
Source: Rfam